CAUUUCAUUCCCAAAUCUAAACCCUAAAUAUUUUUCCACAUCUCCCCCCCCCCCCCCCCCCCCCCCCCCCCCCCCCCCCCCCGCCCCCACCCUCUCUCUCUCUCUCUCACCCUUUCCACCACCCACUCACCCAACCAUCUUCCUUUCCGGUACGACGAAGUAUUGUCGAUCAUUGCUUACAACGUGACAAAGGAAGCAACAUAUCGGGCGCGAUGAAGUUGCUUGCAACGAAAGCUCGUCUCUACUUGCAGAAGUACCGACGAAGACUGUAAACUAUCAGAUCUUCUCAUCAAAGAUUUCUUCACAACUCUAUCCUGCUUUACUUUGUUGAAAAAUGAUCGGCUCCUAAACUUCAAAGUUGACUUCUAACUACCCAUUGGGAAUAGAAUAUGAAGCUUCGAUUCCAAUUGGAGCUGUUGCAGUGGAGCAUGAUUAUGAUAUGUCGCCUCCAAUGGUGGUUGUGAUUGUGGUGUUUAGAUUUGUGGGUGAUAUAAAUCUACAGUUGUGUUGAUCUACAUUUGAGAACGCGGUGGUGAUGGAUUGUGCAUUGGAGGUGAAUCUAGUAUUUUUGAUCGUCGAUUUAAGUUAAAUGUAUUAGAAAUAGUGUUGGAUUGUGAUAUUGGUCUAAGGUGCGUGCACAGUUGUUUGUGAUGAUCUCAUGUGACCAAAUAUGUAUUUAUUAUGACUGUUUGUGACUAAUUUUUUGUUGAUUGUAACCGGUUGUGACUUAGUCAAAGUUAAGACUAUCCUGGUCAUAGACAAUCACACUAAAUACAAAUUUAAUCACAGUUUGUCACAUUAAAGAUAAAUUUGGUCAUGGUUAAUCACAUAUAACAUAAAUCGGUGAAUUGGUCAAAUACAGUUACAGCGAAAACAAGUUUGAUCACAAAUAGUCACAUAAAACACGGGCAUAGUCACGAACAAUAAAUCUGAUCACAAAUAAUGUUUUGGAUAUUUUUC
This 960-nucleotide long non-coding RNA is filed under the name Olea europaea subsp. europaea. The record is from RNAcentral. Lineage: Eukaryota; Viridiplantae; Streptophyta; Magnoliopsida; Lamiales; Oleaceae.